Molecule: unclassified non-coding RNA, 215 nt
Filed under: Hevea brasiliensis (rubber tree)
Lineage: Eukaryota; Viridiplantae; Streptophyta; Magnoliopsida; Malpighiales; Euphorbiaceae
Source: RNAcentral
GUCCUUCAAAGUUCUUCAGUGACAGGUUAGGUGGCAAAACAAACCUGUUCUUAAUAUCAGCUUCCCUACGGCCAAGUCUUGGCGUAUCCACAGUAAGGGCAAUUGCCUUAAAACCAGCCCUUUCUGCUCUUUUCACGAGUUGCAUAACGACAUUCCUGUCUUUAUACACAUAGAGCUGGAAAAAGCGAAUGCCUGGUCCUGUUGAAGCAACCUCU